Long non-coding RNA from Sitophilus oryzae (rice weevil), 119 nucleotides. RefSeq lists it as uncharacterized. NCBI's taxonomy places the organism in Eukaryota, Metazoa, Arthropoda, Insecta, Coleoptera, Curculionidae. The record is from RefSeq and is a predicted model, not a curated record. The transcript has 2 exons.
UUUUUGUUAAAAAAUUUACAACAGAAUCCCACAUAUGUUGUCAUUAUAGCUGGGAGGUUAUUGCUAAUAAUCUCUACUCUUUUUUAUGAAACUGUAAUGAUCUAUGUAUAAUUCUUAAA